RNAcentral lists this ribosomal RNA (253 nucleotides) under uncultured bacterium. RNAcentral's name for it is "partial 16S ribosomal RNA". It matches the Rfam family "Bacterial small subunit ribosomal RNA", at positions 524 to 776 of the family's 1533-position model. RNAcentral also lists the same sequence under 1 other name. The record is from RNAcentral.
UACAGAGGGUGCAAGCGUUGCUCGGAUUUACUGGGCGUAAAGCGUACGCAGACGGUGAGAAAGGUCGGAUGUGAAAGCCCCGGGCUCAACCCGGGAACUGCAUCCGAAACCAUCUCGCUAGAGUAUGGGAGAGGGAAGCGGAAUUCCUGGUGUAGAGGUGAAAUUCGUAGAUAUCAGGAGGAACAUCUGCGGCGAAGGCGGCUUCCUGGCCCAUUACUGACGUUCAGGUACGAAAGCGUGGGUAGCAAACAGG